This 450-nucleotide ribosomal RNA is filed under the name uncultured bacterium. RNAcentral's name for it is "partial 16S ribosomal RNA". It matches the Rfam family "Bacterial small subunit ribosomal RNA", at positions 354 to 796 of the family's 1533-position model. The record is from RNAcentral.
GUGGGGAAUUUUGGACAAUGGGCGAAAGCCUGAUCCAGCCAUGCCGCGUGCAGGAUGAAGGCCUUCGGGUUGUAAACUGCUUUUGUACGGAACGAAAAGACUCCUUCUAAUAAAGGGGGUCCAUGACGGUACCGUAAGAAUAAGCACCGGCUAACUACGUGCCAGCAGCCGCGGUAAUACGUAGAGUGCAAGCGUUAAUCGGAAUUACUGGGCGUAAAGCGUGCGCAGGCGGUUAUAUAAGACAGAUGUGAAAUCCCCGGGCUCAACCUGGGAACUGCAUUUGUGACUGUAUAGCUAGAGUACGGUAGAGGGGGAUGGAAUUCCGCGUGUAGCAGUGAAAUGCGUAGAUAUGCGGAGGAACACCGAUGGCGAAGGCAAUCCCCUGGACCUGUACUGACGCUCAUGCACGAAAGCGUGGGGAGCAAACAGGAUUAGAUACCCGGGUAGUCC